This is a long non-coding RNA of Syzygium oleosum, 1279 nucleotides long. RefSeq lists it as uncharacterized. NCBI's taxonomy places the organism in Eukaryota, Viridiplantae, Streptophyta, Magnoliopsida, Myrtales, Myrtaceae. The transcript has 4 exons. The record is from RefSeq and is a predicted model, not a curated record.
CCCGUGUUUGGCGGGCGAGGUUUCGUGCCUUCCAUCCCAUGCUCGCCCACCGAUCAAGACGAUCAUCAGUGGCUCCUACGAAAGCCAAGGAUGAGAUCAAAGAACUAAUGAUUUUGUUAGGUGGUUUGUAAAUAGGACACAUUGAUACCCAGGUUUAUCUAAGUGUGAAGCUUCACGACUUUGACGAGACUGAUGGCGUAUACGGGGACAGUAGCGCCAAUUUGUUAGGUGGUUUGUAAAUAGCACGCCUUCUUUUAUUCUUUCACUUUCAUUUGCUAACUGCCGCAGUUCAUUCUUCCAUCUACAAUCAGUUUUGUGUGGUUCGGGCACAUUCUUGCCACUUUGCUGUUUGUCGCCGAGAUCUUCAUCUUCCUUUACAUUGGAAUGGAAGCGUAUCGAGAAGUGGGGAGUUGUCAGCAAUAGUCCUGGAGAAAUCGAUCAAGGUCAGCUCGAUGUUGUGGGACUCUGUUUUGAUUGGAAGAGCCGCCUUUGUUUUCCCCCUGUCGAUUCUUGUUUAACUUGGCUAGGAAGUCUAAGUACGAAAAGAUCCAUUUAAAGCAGCAGGUUAGAAACUAGAAUUUUCUUGCGGAUUUUCCUGCCUAUGAGGUAGUCAGCAUGAUCGAGUUUCCGAACUAAACUCUGACAUGUUCAGGUCACAUUUUGGUGGGCAGGGCUUAUGCGUGGCACUGUCUCCAUGGCACUCGCCUAUAACCAGUUUACUCGGUCUGACACGAAAUUGCGGGGCAACGUGUGUACGAUCGCACGAACCAUCACGGCCAUUCUGUUUAUCCCUGUGGUAAGAUGGCGUUUCAUAUGUCGAGUCUAAUUGGUGGCAUAACAUGUAACUUGUUCCUCAAGGUAUCAUUCUUCGAUACAGGCGUUUGGACAGCUGAUGAAGCCUCUGGUGAGAAUCUUGCUUCCUUCGACCAAAUACUUUGUCAGCAUGAAAUCUUCCGAGCCAUCAAGUCCGAAAUCCUUCAUGCAGCCACUGCUCAGUAACGGACACAACUUGGAGUCUCACCAGAAUGGCAAAAGCAUACUUUGACCGAGAAGUUUGUGCAAGCUCCUGAGUACGCCUUCUCACACGGUGCCCUAUUACUGGCGAAAAUUCGACAAUGCCUUCAUGAGGCCCCUGUUCAGCCAGGAGGUUUCGUGCCUUUCAUUCCAUGCUCGCCCACCGGUCAAUGCGAUCAUCAGUGGCUCUAACGAAAGCCGAGGAUGACAUCAAGAGCUAAUGACUUUGUUUGAUGGUUUGUAAGUAGGACACAUUCAUACACAG